Molecule: ribosomal RNA, 253 nt
Filed under: uncultured prokaryote
Description: partial 16S ribosomal RNA
Rfam family: Bacterial small subunit ribosomal RNA
Source: RNAcentral
UACAGAGGGUGCGAGCGUUAAUCGGAAUUACUGGGCGUAAAGCGAACGUAGACGGUUGGAUAAGUCGGAUGUGAAAGCCCCGGGCUCAACCUGGGAAUUGCAUUCGAGACUGUUCAGCUAGGGUGCGGAAGAGGGAAGCGGAAUUUCCGGUGUAGCGGUGAAAUGCGCAGAUAUCAGGAGGAACACCAAUGGCGAAGGCAGCUCGCUGGGACGGUACUGACGCUGAGACGCGAAAGCGUGGGGAGCAAACAGG